ACCACUUGUCGGUUUUGUUUGUUGUUUGAUGUUUAUCUGUUGAAGUUUUGUGAGCCUCCUGGAUCUGUGGUUUAGAGUCUUACAUUAAUUUUGGGGAAAUUCACAGUCAUUGUUGCUUCAAAUAUUGCUUCUGCUCCCUUAUCUUUUUCUUCUCCUCUGGUGUGCUCAUUAUGCAGAUGUUACGGCUUUUGUAGUUGUCCCAUGGUUCUUGGACAUUCUGCUUUUUUUUCCCCCAUCUUUUCCCUCUUGCUUCUCAGUUUUGGAAGUGUCUAUUGUCAUAUUCUCAAACUCAAAGAUUAUUUUCUCAUCAGUAUUCAGUCUACUAAUGAGUCCAUAAAAACAUUUGUCAUUUCCGUUAGUCUUUUUUGUCGCUAGAAAUUUUUUAAAACCUAGAAUUUCCAUUGCUCUUUUUACAUUGUCUAUCACUUCUUGCAUGUUUUCUACUUCUUCCAUUAAGCCCUUAGCAUAUUCGUUAUUUAAAAAAAUUCCUGGUCUAAUAAUUUCAACAUUCCUGCCAUAUCUGACUUUGGCUAUGAUGCUUAUUCAACCUCUUCAAACUGUAUUUCUUGCCUUCUAGUAUUUGUUAUAGCUUUUGGUUAAAAGAUAGAUAUUAUAUACUGGGUAAAAGGAACAGUGGCCUUUAAUAAUGUAAUGGUAAGGUGUAGGAGAAGGGAAAGAUAAUCAUAGCUUCUUUUUGGAGCUGACUUCAAGUGUUAUCUUAAAUGUUAUCUCUUUUAAUUGUUAGAAGAGGCCCAAAAGAUAGGCACCAUUAUCUGCAUGUAACAGAUAAGGAAGCUAGAGUUUGCCUGAAGUCAUAUGGCUAAUUAAUGAAGAAACCUAGACUCCUCCCACUCAGGUUUCUUUAACUCAAAAUCUACUUAAGAAUUGUGCACUGAAUUAUGUAAAACCAGAAACUACAUUUUUGAUCCAUUUGAGUUCUGUCUCCACUAGUUACCAAGUUUGUGACCCAGGUAGGUUGCUUAACAUCAAACUCCAGGUUUCUCAUCUGCAAAUGGGGACAAUAGUCGUCCCUUCCUCAUCAGGUUGUGAUAAAUGUGACAAUAACUUUGACAGAUAAAUUAACUAUAUGAAUCACACAAGAGGUAAUACUUCAAUUUGCAUAAGGAUUGAGAAGGGUACCUAAUAGAAAGAGACAGGUGGCAAAGGAGUGAAAGAGUGAGAGGGAAUUGGAAAUUGCCAUUUUCUCUUCCUAUCUCCUUUGUUGGGAUUCUUUUGGAGCCAUAACCACUGUCUUUCCACCAUUCCUACUAUCCACAGAGGAGACUCGGAGCAGGAAACACAAAUAAUUAUUGAACACGUAACUACAGUGAUGUCAAAAAUUGCUAUAAGCACUUUUCAUGUGUUAACAUGACAUAAUUGACCAAAAAACAAAUUGUAUAAUUAAGGAAACUGAGGCAUCGAGGAAACUGAGACUUGCAUAAAGACCAUAGCUUAUGAGUGCUAUACUUCAUGUGUGUUUUAUUUUUGAAGAGGCUGGUGUUUGAGCUCUCUUGCCUCUGAGACAUUUCUUGUUCAUUAAUUUCUAAACACUCUCUCCUCACUGGGGUGAAGAGACCACCUGGAGAUUUUUCUCAUCACCAAAAUAGGUGGGAAGGGUAUCCAUUGAUUCUACUAUUAACAUAUCUCAGACAGGCCCUUCAGAGCGAUUCAAUUCCCAUUGAUUUUCAUAAAGAAAAGCCCCAUUCAGAUGGAAAGCAAAGAAGGAUUUAUUUGUUCCUGACAUAAACUCGUGUUUCUUGCUGGGCUCAAUAAGUGCUGUGAGUGGGGAGGCUGAAUUUAGAUCAAUGAAGAAUCCAGAGAUCAUUCUUACAAAGCAAACACAUUGUGUGACCUGUUGGGCACAAUACUAAAAAGUAUCAGAGGUAUGAGGUCAUGGUUGUUUUCAGACUCUCUAGAAAUUUAUUCCAGAAGUCCUAUUCAGCACUAAACUCUGCAGCAUUUCCCAGGGUGGAGGAAGGAGACAACGGUGCUUUGUGACACACGUCUAAAGACAGGGGCUCUGGGGACACACUCCUGUGCUUUGCAUCCCAGUUUCAACUGCUGACUCUCAAGCAAGUUACUUAGCUAUGCCAGUGUUUUCAUCUAUAAAAAGAACAUAAUAAUAGCACUUUCUAUCUUAGGGUGGUCAUAAGUAUUAAACGAGAUAGUAUAUGUAAAGUGUGGAAAAUAGUACCCAGCACACCAUAAACGUAACAGCAAAAUAAUAAUUCACUUUUGCUGAAUGCACCUUCCCAUAGGGCCUAAGUGCUAAUUUCAGACAGUAAGUCAACCACUGUUGCCUUCAUGUUGCCAAAUUUAACAAUUAAAUCUGUUCAACAUGUCAGUGAAAUAAAGAGGAAUUUAGCAAGUUUUUAAAGGCAUUUUCUGAAUUGCUAAUUGCAUGAUUUGUACAUGCUACAGCUCAAAGGAAGAGUGUGCUGGUAGCCAGAGCUAGGAAAGAACCAAGGAAGAAAGUUAUCUUCCUCAAGAAAAGCCUUAUGCCUCUUUCCCCCAAUGCCUCAGGGCAACUGGGAAAGAUAAUGGACAAAAUACACAAUUGUGAAUGAGAAGUUGGGUGUUCAAAUUGUGGCUCUGGCACUUAAUUGUGCCAAUUACUCUGUCUAAAAUUUAAUUUUUCUAUUUGAGAAUACAGAUAACAACACCCACAGAAUUAAACAUAUUUAAAUGUCUUUUUAACAAAUAGUGCCUUGUGCAAAUGCUACCUAUUAUUUACUACACUGAUUCAAUCAUUCAAAUGCUUAUGUCCUGGGAGGGACUGAGAGCUUGUUUAUUUACAGCCUGUUAUAAAUUACUUCACAAUCAGGCUGCUUUCCUCAUAGACCUGGCUGGGACCAGGGAUGGUGGGUGAUGGGAGAGCUUUCCUUCUGCUGUGAUAAGAGUAAAGAAUAAGUCUUCUUGGAGCAUGAGCUAGUCUGGACCUGGGAUGGCAAAGGGUCCAGAGAGAAAGGUUGUAGAAUUCUGUGAGUUUCACGUGCUUUGAAACGUGGCUGAUGCAAGACCUGAUAGAACUGUUCAUCAAGAUGACUGAGAGGAUGAUGGUUGCUAGUUUCAUGGUGAUUUGAAGGAAAGACCAAUGUGGUAGGAGGCAGCAGGGUACUAGAGACAGAAGUAGACUGCUUCUACACCUUACUGGCCAUGUGCCCUUAGACAAGUUCCCGAAUCCAACUGGGACAUAGUUUCCUCAUCCUUAAGAACAGCAGCACCCACUGCAAAGACUGUGAUCAAGAUUAAAGAAGAGCCUUCAUCCAACACACCUCCUUCCAGGCACUCAGUAAAUGGAAUCCAUUAUCUCCACAGCCACCCACAUCUGUCAAGGCAUCUUGCUGUCGGAAGCACUAUGGGAGAUCUAUAAAUGCUGGUUACAUUCCCUCCAUGGUGACUUGGAGUAUUACACUGCUUCACAGAGGGGGAAACUGAAACCCACAAAGGUCAAAGGGCUUGAUGAAGCCUGUAAAGCCAUCUUACACAUCAGCUUUGGGAAACAUCGCGUAAGGCAUGGGCCUGGAGAGGAAAGCGGGCCCACAUCCAAGCUUAUGUCAGUCAGAUACUAAAAUGUCAUUAUCU
Molecule: non-coding RNA, 3585 nt
Organism: Macaca mulatta (Rhesus monkey)
Lineage: Eukaryota; Metazoa; Chordata; Mammalia; Primates; Cercopithecidae
Source: RefSeq, a predicted model, not a curated record